ACUGGGUCCUGUUUCUUCUAAUUCUUCUCAAGUAACUUUUAUUAACAAAAAACCCUACACAUUUCCUUUCCAAUAGUAUUUGUGCAUAGGGAGAACUUGGGAUUAUUUGAAAAUCAAGUAUAACUUUUUCCUGAAUGUAUUGCCUUCUACAGGGAGUUUUGCUCUUGGUGUGAAAUGAGCUGUUUGCCAGGAGACCUUUCCAAGGGAUCCCUGCACAUAUAAAAGGAUUAGGUCACUUCACUUAUUUGGUAUCAACCUAUAGAAUAUUAGGCCUGUGAGGAUGUGUUCAGAGGUAUUUAAAACACAUUUUCCUUCCAUUGAGGAAGUAUUUUAAUGGUUGGUGCAAAAAGUAGAGAAUCUCACAGUUAACCAGGGACAUGGGAGCUGAGGCUGUGAUAUUCAGACUUUUUGUAUCAUGAUGCUUCUCAGAGGUUUGGUUUCCUUGGUCAGCUCCAUGGUGAUUUUGUGGAGAGGUUCUUUUAAAGGCAAAGACAACUGUGAUUCAUUCACACAGAAAUGAUUGCCAUUAGACAAAAACCAGCCCUUGGUCAGACUUGUGUGUCCUGGCAUGUGGAUCAGACAGGUAAGCUGUGCAUGACAUACAUGACACUCAUUCUCAGGCAAACAGAGUUUCCCCACUGGGAGUGGGAUUAGUGGGAGCAUGUGGGAGUGGGGAGGAGUCUGUAAGUUGACAGCUAAUGAGAAAAUCCAAUGUUUGUCAUUCAGCUGUGUUUGUUUGAUUCCAUUCUGUGGUCACCUACCUCAAAACCCCCUCUGAGUGGCAUACCUGAACACCCUGGUAAAGGUUUAGCAACCCCCUUGCUGCGCUUCAUUUCUCUCUUGUUGAAAGAAAGCUCUGAAGGACAUAGAUCAGUAGAUUGCAUCAAGUCUUUCUGCACUGCAGAAUUACAGAUAUUUUCCAUUCUUAUUCUCAGUAGAGUAAAUGGGAACCAGGAGACUGUUUUUGAGCAUUAUGCCUGCCUGGUUUUGCUCAGAGUUUAUGGAUCAAAUUAGCAACAAGAAGCUGCAAAAAUGCUGUGAGGAAGAAAAAGAUGAGGAGAGCGGAGAGCAGUGCAGCAAUGAAGAGAAUAGGUUGUUCCAUGAGGUGCCUGUAGACCUUUUUUGAUAUAAAACCAUUAAAUAGGAAGGUAAUUUGAACUAUAAAGGUAUAUCUAAUGAAUGACAAUUAUGAAGAAGCCUCAGCAAAAUCCAUAAAUAUGUUCAGGAUUAUAUUCAUCUACUCAGGAUGCUUGUUUAGGGCAAAGAAGCCCCUCUGUUUCUUACUGCAGGUAUUGAACUCCCUAGAGAAAGAGAUGCAUGCUAUCAGAGAUACAUGCAAUAUUUAAAUCUAAAUGUCUGGAACUUUGGGGGUGUUUCUGCAACAUCACUCUCUUCCACAGAAUUUCUAGAACAGUUCUGCCACUUUCUUGUAUCCCCCCUCUCUAUGAGUUUUAGCAUGAAGCUUACUACUUGUGUUAAUCUACUAAAAACAUUAAUGAUUUUCAUAGACAUAUUCACAUAGUACUGACCUUUCUCACGUAUUAUGAUAGUGUUAAUUGCUGUUCUGUCUUACUUGAGAUUUGCAAAUAAAAGAAAUUAAAAACGUUGUUCAUGUGCAUUAAUGUUGUCUGAGAAGUUUGAGUUCCCUGCAGUUUGAGCAGACCUGAAUUUCUCAAGACAGUGCAAUGUAACAGGAGAUAUUCCAUUGCCAAGCAGCUUUCAGGAACAGUAAUCUCACACAUCUAAUAUGCAACAUGUUUUCUUAUUUAGUGAGGGACUCUUUUCAUUCUGACCUUGAUCAUUAAUGAAUUCUAUUAUUUGGGAAGGAGUGAUGGAAACAUGAAACUCAUACUUGUCAUCACCAAUUACCGCUUUUUUUCACUUUGUUAAACUGGUACAAUUUUCCUUUAAAAACACUGGCAGUGGCUCUGGAAGUCAUCCCUUUUGUCCUGGUAGGAGCUGGUGGAAAUCAAGGGACAUAUACCCUCCUUGAAUGAAUAGCUACACAUUUCUUUUUUUGUGAAAGAGCUCAUUUAGAUUGUUUUCAAACCUUCUAUUUGCUUAGUCUUGUGUGCUUACUGUAAAUACUAAGAAGUUUUGCUCUGUAGUUUGGCCUAUUAAAAUGUGGGAAUAUUAUUUUACAAUAACUGCUGCUAAACCCCUGUAUUGCUAAUUAUUUGUUGCUAAUUAUUUUUCUAGCACAAUACUGAUUGCCCUUUCCUAUAGCCAUUCCAUUUUCUGUUGCUUACACAUUCUUUCUCCCCUGUACAAAUAGAAGAUCAUGGACUCAUCCUUUUUUUCAUUCAUUGUUUCCUGCUUUCUUCCUUGUUCCACUUACCCCCAAGUAGCUUAAUUUGUACACAUGCUGGGCUGAUAUUGCUGCUACAGAGGUUUUUGUAUUUCCCAAUCAGAAUUUGGUACCUUCAGAUGAGCACCUUGCUGGUUUUAGACUUGCACUUUUAAGCAUCUCUCUGUGUAUUUUUGCACAGCCAAAAUCUUAUCUGCUGUUUUCUUUCCUUCUCAUCUUGCUGGAUUUUAUACAAAAUAUUGCAAAUACUUCUGCUUUCUAGCAGUGUUUCACUCUGAUACAAUUGGCCAUAAUAUUGAUCUAUGGAAGUCAGAAAUGCUAUUGGAAGUGUCCAAUGGUCGAAGUGUCCAAUGGUCUGUGAAUAAUAAGGAAAAAGUUGUAAAGCAUGAAACAAAUGUUAUAAAGCUGAAGUCUGCUAUUUAUCAUCUCAUUUAAGUCACAUUAUAAAGUUGAAUUUUCAGUUCUUCGUCUCAUUUUCUAUCGUGUUUCAAAUAAAAUAGAUACUUGAUUUUGAAAUUUUUCUUUAGGUUUUUGCUUUCACAUGAAUGGAUAAGUUUUUCAACUGUUACUAUUGCUUAGAAUGGGAAACCAGAAUGCAGCUUUUUUGCUGCAUUCUGCAUUGAUGAAGAGGUGUUUCAUUGUGGAGACUUUUGCAUCAAAAACAGAUGAAGGAAUCUGCCUGACAGAGCUUCUAUUUGAAAUGUGAAUCCUCUGCCUCUGCUUCAGUGCCAAAAGCUAAUUGCAGCAGUAUGUGCAAUACCUUGUGUGCCAGAAAGGCAGAUGAAGCUUUCUUCAAAGUAAUUCAGCUUGAAAAUCAGAGGUCACCUCACCUGAUCUUCAGGACUGGUUCUUUCAGAUUAAUGUAUCAUCUGUCAGGAGAUUACCAGAAAGCAUCGAGGUCUCCUUGCAUACCCAGGGAAGACACUUCCUUCCCUAUAAAUGUGGAAUAUAUAUAUUCUAUGUUUUGGGUCAGAAACAGAGUCAGGAGGGGGAGCCACCAAUACCUUGAUAUUUUUUACUGAUAAAAGCCAUAAACAAGAUGAGUUUGUAGGCUUUUAUUACUUUUUAGUCAAAGGUUAUUCUUUUUUCCCCAUAAGAUGUUAUUAAAAUCAUUACAUUAAAAGAAAUUUUCUGAAUAGUUGCCAUAAAUUCUGCACAGAAAGAUCCACAGGUAGCCAGAAGGUACAAAUGAGUGUUUAAGAAGAAAAACAAAGGGCAAAAUGUUAGCAAUAAAUCUUUUAAACUGUCAUACAAAGAAAAUGAAGCACAAUUUUAAGGUCAUGAUUUUUCUCCUACCUCAGAAUUGCAGCUGGAAAGCCUGUAGCAGCUGGUUAGUACCUACUGACUACUGACAUCUGUAACUGUGGAGGGCAGGAAUUGUGUGAUCUAGUGAAGUCAGCACAGUCUUGAAUUUCAAAAAGCCCUGAAUUUCAGUGCUCACGCUCUUAGAUUAUUUUGGGGCUUGGAGUGAUUUAUCCUCUUGUGAUAUUUUCUUGACAUAAAAGGAAUAAGACUUAAAGUUAGUAAAAUGCAUCUGGAGAUAAGAAUUAGAAGUACAGAUGAUACUUGUUCGGGGAAUUAAAGGCAGUUUUUUUGCAGUAGCUAUCAUUACAUCAAAGGAGGUAAAAAUAGGAGUGACCAACUUAAGCAACCAUGAAGAAAUGCCUUUAAGAAUUGCAGCUGCCAUUUCUCUCUGAAUGUCCGGCAUCUUUCCCUCUCCUGAAUAUGCUUGGAGUAAUGAUUGAGUUUGGAUUGAAGGUGUAAGGAGCUUUGCUGAAAGUCAGUCUUUGAGGAAAACCUGAAUAACCUCUCCCUGUAGCCUGAUACUGCCAUGCUCAGAAGUAUUUGCUGCAAUUCCCUUUUAUCAGUUCCUUACUAAGAUUAUUUACCUUCAUCUCUUCUUCCUUUUAAGAAAUAAUUUCCUAUGUAGCAUCACAUCACUGCUUUACUAAUUUCUUUGUAGAUUGCAACCCCUGCAAUUUUUUGUGUAACUUAAUUCUGUCCAAGCAAACUGUUGGGUUGUGUUAGCAGAGUCUCAUUUUGACAAACAUGGUUUUUUCAUGUAUUUAAUUUUCUGUGGACUUCUGUAUUGUAUUUCCUUCAAAGUAUUUUAAAGUCUGUACAUAGUUUUUGUGAAUCACUGUUAGCAUAAUUUUCUUUGCCUUCACCAUCUUUGUGUGAGAGAAAUACAAACUAUAUUAAGUGAGGCUUUGAUAUACUGAGAGAAGGAAUGAAAGAAAAAGUGGUAGCGUCAAAAUUAAAGCUGAAAAAAUUGAGGUAAAGUGGAUGUUUUUGGAGCAAUGGGGAUGAGAUCUUGCACCCUCCAGAGAUGUGAUGAGCUCUCCCAAUCUGUUCUUCAGGACUGAGUUUGCAUGUGAAAGAUGUUGUUGGUUUUUUUUACAUCAAAUGGCAUAUUUCCAUAUUUCUUCAAGGUUCUUGUUGUGCUGACUUGUGGUUUUAUGAAUUCUAAAUGCUGUCAUGUUUGUAUUGUAAAUAAGUGAACGUACUAGAAAUUAGGACUGUUCCUCAAAAUCACCAUUAAACCUUAGCUGAUUUUUUCUAGAAGCCCAGGUAACCUUGAGUUGUGUGUUCAUCCCUUUCACUAUUAAAAAACCCUGUAUUUUUGUAAGUUGGCUUGAUUUCAUAUUACUUGAGAGAAAAUUAUCUAGAGAUUUUAGAUGGUGGAUUUUUAAAAAUUUUUAUCCCCCAAAGAAAGGAAAAUCAUGAAGACUUUUAUGUAGAUGAGGAAGAAUAUCUAAAUGCCAGCUGGAGGUGUCCCAAACAGGUGCAGUCAAAAGGUAAUUGAUAAGCUUGGGAAUAUUUUGUAGGUAUGCUUGGGAAAUAUUUUUGAAGGGCAGUUCAGUGUGAAGGCAGAAUAAAAGAGCACAAGAAUUAGCUUGUAAAAGAAAGUAUUGUGGAGACAGGAACUGUCAAAUAAACAAACCAGCGCAUUAUGUAAUUUUUAUGCAUGCUCUGUUUUGGAGAAAUACUGCCUGGCAGCUGGGGCUCUUCUAUUCCCCCAGUGUUUGAUAAUAGAGAGGGAAAGUGGGCCACUGACUGUCAUUGCCAUCUCAAGCAUUAUGUUGUGAGUCCUUCACAGGCAAAAAAAUAAUGGAUACAAAUUGAGUGUACAAACCUGAACUUCCACCUGCACAGUAAAUGGCUGCAUGUUUGUGCUCCAGCCAAGACGCCCUUAUUUGCUGGGAGCAAGUGUUGUGCAGGAUUAACAUAGUAUUAGAGAAUGAGAAUCUUCUGGGCUGAAAAUCCAUGGUGUUAAGGGAUUUAACUAAAAAUAGGAUAUUAGAUAAGUUUCACAGGGAUGCUGCUGCAGUUGUAUUGAACAUUAUUAAACAGAAGAUAAUACUUUUGUCAUGUUCUGAGUAAUGAGUGCAGGCACUGCUUCACCCCAGCUCUCCCGAGAGUUGAAAUGAUGUGAACAGAACCUCAUCAGGCUGGGAUUGGCUUGGCCAGGUUUUCCUAGGGAGCUUUAAUAGAGCUCUGUGACUGCCCUGGAACUGCAGUGCACACACAGUGGCUUUGAAAAUGUUAGUAGGGAAUAAUCUGUUCAUAUCUGUGUGCUGAGGGGAAAUCCCUUUAUCAAUGUACUGUAGGGGUGGGAGUGUGCACACGUGUGAGUGACAGGGUGUUUUGGAGGUUGUUUAGAAACUCACAUUCAGGAAAGCUUCUAUGAUGAAUUUGAUGAGCAUUAACAUUUAAAAAACACCGUUGCAAUGAUUUCUAACUGAUUUUACAAUUUUUUUAUUAUAUUUUUUUACUUCCUGUGAUAAGUAGGCUCAACUGGCAGCUGCAGGUAAGGAUUAUCUAGUGUGUCCUUAUUUUAAUCUUUUUCAUUUGGUAAAUAGAUGCAGUCAUUUUCAUUGUUGCAGCUGCAGUUUUCAGAUACUGGUCCUGGGCCACAGAUAACUUGUGUUUGAUAGGUUUAAUCAAAACAAAGUGUGAAACCGUGACUUUCACAAUGUAGCAUUAGAAUUUAGAAUUUGGUAUUUGACAUGAAACUGCAUUGGACAAGGAAAGCUGUUCCCUUUUUUCCAUUGAAAAUAUAUUUGAUUGAGCAAAGAACUGAGAAUGUGGAAAUUCCAGUUGGUCAGCAGGGAGUUUCAAUGAUCAUACAGUGCUGCCAGGGCAAGUGAACAGGGCUAAGCUGUAUUUUGGAGAUGUGAUGGUUUAGGAGUAUAAAUAAAAAAUAAAACCUGCUUAGGCAAAGAU
Molecule: non-coding RNA, 6535 nt
Organism: Taeniopygia guttata (zebra finch)
Lineage: Eukaryota; Metazoa; Chordata; Aves; Passeriformes; Estrildidae
Source: RefSeq, a predicted model, not a curated record